UCCACCCCUGCAGUUUUCCCCAGUCCUCAUACACGUGCACCUGGCAUGUCACAAUUCAAAUGUGACUCUUCAGGUAGACAUUCCCUAAGCAAUCCCCCUAAUGUGUCUUCUGUGUUUUAUAAAAAAAGAUGGGAGAGACCAGAGAUAUGGUGGGGCUGUGAUACGGUGUGGGGAAGGGGGUGCCUUUGUGGGCCUGUGCUGAGGCUUCCCUUCCCCCUCUGAGGUAAAGAAUGUACCAGAAGAUCUUUGUAUAAGGGUGUUGCGGUCAGGAUCACACAACCUUGACUCAGUUCCAUCAAGAUCCAAAUCCAUCCACUAAGGACCCAUCCACUGGUCUCCAGGCCUGUGUUCCUCCAUGCUUUCACUAUGCCAAGACCCCCCCCCCUUUUAAAAGGCACCAUGCAGCUGUUCACCAGGAUCCUUGCAAACUCGCCGAUCCUUAGAAGUUUUAGAGUCUCUGAGCACUCACUUCUAGAUGACUGCUGUGUGUGCCAAUCGAACGUUCAACUAAAGACAUAUCUCCUGCAACUGUCUUUUUCGCCACCAAGGUUAGCUUUAACAUGCCGGCUGACAGUUACAAAGCAGCAAUCCUGAACGUCCGGGCCAAGGAUUGUGAUGUAUUAACAUGUCAUUAAAAUAGGACAUCGCAAAGUCAACAUACAAUUAUAACUGUUGACCUAUCAAAUCCUGACAGGUUUUAAAAGCUCGGUGGAAACCAAAUGCCAUUUUAUUAGAUGGACCGGGAAAAGGGAAACGCCUGUGGAUGUGGUGAUGUUCCAAUGGAGUUGGUUUGAUGCGUUAAUGGUCUUUGCUAAUAUUUUCUUUUGCAAAGCAAACAGAUCAUAUACCCACAUGUAUUACAUCAUAAAUUUACAAAUGCGUUCUGUAUAUAUGCCUCCACACACACACAUACACAUACACAAUGCGCGGUACCACAUAGUUGAUGUGGAGUGAUCUACUGUGGCUUACCUAAUGGCCCUGGGAUGAUUUUAACAGGGUCUCUGUAUCAACCGAAACAAU
Rattus norvegicus (Norway rat) is the source of this 1020-nucleotide long non-coding RNA. RefSeq lists it as uncharacterized. Lineage: Eukaryota; Metazoa; Chordata; Mammalia; Rodentia; Muridae. The record is from RefSeq and is a predicted model, not a curated record.